RNAcentral lists this ribosomal RNA (253 nucleotides) under uncultured bacterium. RNAcentral describes it as "partial 16S ribosomal RNA". It matches the Rfam family "Bacterial small subunit ribosomal RNA", at positions 524 to 776 of the family's 1533-position model. The record is from RNAcentral.
UACGGGGGGGGCAAGCGUUGUUCGGAAUUACUGGGCGUAAAGGGCUCGUAGGCGGCCAACUAAGUCGGACGUGAAAUCCCUCGGCUUAACCGAGGAACUGCGUCCGAUACUGGAUGGCUUGAGUUCGGGAGAGGGAUGCGGAAUUCCAGGUGUAGCGGUGAAAUGCGUAGAUAUCCACAGGAACUCCGGUGGCGAAGGCGGCGUGCUGGACCCUCUCUGACGCUGAGGCGCGAAAGCCAGGGGAGCGAACGGG